Long non-coding RNA from Choloepus didactylus (southern two-toed sloth), 639 nucleotides. RefSeq lists it as uncharacterized. The transcript has 3 exons. NCBI's taxonomy places the organism in Eukaryota, Metazoa, Chordata, Mammalia, Pilosa, Megalonychidae. The record is from RefSeq and is a predicted model, not a curated record.
GAAGGAAAUGCUGGGCAAUUAUGGCACGGAGAAGAAGUUUGUCAUCCCUACUGCCACAUUAAGCAAGUUAAAAAUAUCUCUCAAAGGUUUUUCUUUGGCCUCUUAACAAGCUCCAGCAGAAUGAAAGUUGGCCGGUGUGACCCGAAUUGCCAGCCUCUUCCCAUCAACCUGCACGUGACUGUACAGGGUGGAGGCCAAGGUUUUCCAACGAUGUCUGUGGAAAACCCGGCAACUACUCCCAGGGAAAUGAAGAAAAGCCACCUCCACUCUCCCUGCUGCUCCCAUGGAAUCGUGCACUCUGAUUUGGGCACUGACAUCUUUCCUCAGGCCCAGGACAUCAAGAACAGUAUUUGUUCCUGCCAUGUUUCCAGCAUUCUUGUCCACGGAUGUAUCUAUCCAGGCCCCCAACCCCACUACCAACCUUGACAUAUUUAUUAAGCAGAUGACCAGCAUGCCCUUUCUCUUUCAUAUUGCUGAGAUUCCAGCUCUUCUAGAAAGCCUGCCCACCUGGCCAAAGGGGAGCUGUGGGUUUGUCCUGACACCUGCUUGUCUAGGCACGGAGUUCCUACAACUGCACCUGGACAUAAGCAAAACUGGAUAAUAAAGGAAAACAAUACUACUUGGAUAAUAAACGGUGAA